Molecule: transfer RNA, 60 nt
Filed under: Ixodes scapularis (black-legged tick)
Lineage: Eukaryota; Metazoa; Arthropoda; Arachnida; Ixodida; Ixodidae
Rfam family: tRNA
About the family: Transfer RNA (tRNA) molecules are approximately 80 nucleotides in length. Their secondary structure includes four short double-helical elements and three loops (D, anti-codon, and T loops).
Source: Rfam by way of RNAcentral
AUGGCAUAGUCAGUAGAGUGUCUGGCUCGCGACCGGAGGACCGUGGGUUCGAAUCCCACU